CUCCUACGGGAGGCAGCAGUGAGGAAUAUUGGUCAAUGGGCGCAGGCCUGAACCAGCCAAGUAGCGUGAAGGAUGACUGCCCUAUGGGUUGUAAACUUCUUUUAUAUGGGAAUAAAGUUUUCCACGUGUGGAAUUUUGUAUGUACCAUAUGAAUAAGGAUCGGCUAACUCCGUGCCAGCAGCCGCGGUAAUACGGAGGAUCCGAGCGUUAUCCGGAUUUAUUGGGUUUAAAGGGAGCGUAGGUGGACAGUUAUGUCAGUUGUGAAAGUUUGCGGCUCAACCGUAAAAUUGCAGUUGAUACUGGCUGUCUUGAGUACAGUAGAGGUGGGCGGAAUUCGUGGUGUAGCGGUGAAAUGCUUAGAUAUCACGAAGAACUCCGAUUGCGAAGGCAGCUCACUGGACUGCAACUGACACUGAUGCUCGAAAGUGUGGGUAUCAAACAGGAUUAGAUACCCUGGUAGUCCACACAGUAAACGAUGAAUACUCGCUGUUUGCGAUAUACAGUAAGCGGCCAAGCGAAAGCAUUAAGUAUUCCACCUGGGGAGUACGCCGGCAACGGUGAAACUCAAAGGAAUUGACGGGGGCCCGCACAAGCGGAGGAACAUGUGGUUUAAUUCGAUGAUACGCGAGGAACCUUACCCGGGCUUAAAUUGCAUUUGAAUAUAUUGGAAACAGUAUAGCCGUAAGGCAAAUGUGAAGGUGCUGCAUGGUUGUCGUCAGCUCGUGCCGUGAGGUGUCGGCUUAAGUGCCAUAACGAGCGCAACCCUUAUCUUUAGUUACUAACAGGUCACGCUGAGGACUCUAGAGAGACUGCCGUCGUAAGGUGAGAGGAAGGCGGGGAUGACGUCAAAUCAGCACGGCCCUUACACCCAGGGCUACACACGUGUUACAAUGGCCGGUACAGAGGGCCGCUACCAGGUGACUGGAUGCCAAUCUCAAAAGCCGGUCGUAGUUCGGAUUGGAGUCUGUAACCCAACUCCAUGAAGUUGGAUUCGCUAGUAAUCGCGCAUCAGCCAUGGCGCGGUGAAUACGUUCCCGGGCCUUGUACACACCGC
RNAcentral lists this ribosomal RNA (1054 nucleotides) under uncultured bacterium. Its description in RNAcentral is "bacterial SSU rRNA". It matches the Rfam family "Bacterial small subunit ribosomal RNA", at positions 336 to 1393 of the family's 1533-position model. The record is from RNAcentral.